CAGGGAAAGCCUGUGCUCGGAGGUUCUGCCCUUGACUGUGAGAGCGUCCCCAGCACGCUGACCAGCAUUCCCGGACUGGGGCUGCCUCAGAGGACACAUCAAUGACUCCAGCCAUUUUGCGGCCUCUCAUUUUUGGAAAGUGUUUCUUCAGUGUAAGCAGAGCCUGCUUUCUAGGCAUGUCUGAGCGCCCACCUCAUGGCCCUAUAAUCCUCACUAUCCUGGAACUUGCGGCGGGCCGGUGCACGAGGAGGAGCAGGGCAGAGAGACGCAACGGCUCCACCACCCACAACAUGUCCACGAGAAGACGCAUCUCGACACCCGUGAAUCUGGGCUCCGAGCCCCCUGGAUUGGGGAGACACAGUGUGGCUCCUGGUUAGUGGCAUUUGGCAAGUAAAGAAAUUGAAGCCCAGAUUCACACAGCAGGCAAGUGGCAGAAAGACUGAAAUCCAGGCCUGUUCUGAUUGAGUCUUAAUAACUAUACUUGCCUGCCUCCUAGAUGAUGGGGCAAUUGGAUAUCAGGAAUAUAAAGGGGAGGUGAGGCAGACGGAUGAGAAAAAAAUGGGAAGGUUUUCAAUGUCACCUGGAAAAGAAAAGGAAGAUAAGGGACACAAACAGAGCCAAGGAUUCGCACUUCCUUGGCUUGAGGGCGGCAGACACAUGGGACAGAGGAACUGAGGCCACACGCUUUGGCAAGAUGUGUACCAUGAACAGAGCCCACAUCCCACAGUCCUGGGUAUUUAGGGACCACAUGGGAAUGAGAAAUGCCUAAACAGAGGGCACUCCCAGUUUGGGCUGUCGCAAGCGCCUGGAUUCAUCAGCGUCUUAGCGGAGGGAGAACUCCCACCCUGGGAGUCAAGGCCCCAGAGACAGGAGCCGGCUGCUCAUGACGGGGAGUCACAGAAUGGGAAAGCACUGGACGUCUGGAAGGAGGACAGACACAGAAAAUAAAACCCCUUAGGUGGGCAUUAUCUGCAACAAAGCAAAGCAAAUUUACAAGCAUAUUAUGGAAACUGCGGGAGAGGGAAAUCAUAGAAACUUUCUAGUGAACAAGGAAAUUGGAAAUGGAAAUUGGAAUCUCCCAGGACAGCACCGAUUCCUAUUAAUUUGAACUGUGUAAAAUGUUAUUGAUAGUGUCUUUGUUACUAUCUCCUUCUUUCUGCUUUUUCUUAGUGAUUACACAAAUAUUCAAAAGGCUUCCGAGGGUUCAUUCUCAACCUCCUUGCCCCAAUCCUAUUUUUCCUACAACGUCUUAAAUUUCUGAAACCCCAGCCCUCCUACACUGGAAGUUUUCCUCCUGCCUGAAGAGAGCCUACUAUGUACGUGAUGUGCUCCUGGUGGGCCGAAACUGUGCUUUUCCAUCUCUGGAAUCCCUAGCAGGCUAAGCCUGGAAUGGGCAAACAGUAAGUGCUCAAUAAAUACCUACCGUGUGAUGAACAUUUCAUAGUUUUGGCUCCCCCGGUUGUGUGACAAUUCUGAGACUCACACUGAAAAGUGGCAGGAGAAAGCAAUUGGGCCCCAGUUUCUGCCAAGACGAGGUUGUGCACGAGGCCUGUCCCAGCGUGGGGAGGUCUGUAGGCUGGAGAGGAGCCUGUCAGGAUGUGCCCAAAGUCGCUGCAUUUUUCCUGGGUGGCAGAGCUGGAGGAUGAUGGAGGUGGGGGUGGGGGAAGCCCAUCACGAGCAGGACUACGAAAAUAAAGAGCGACCUCGCCUGUCGUGGACCAAGCUGACCCCCUAUGAGAUACAAAGAUGGCUCAGGGCCUGCCUGGGAACAAUUCCCUUGGUGUGGACCGCAAACUUGGAGGAAAACGGAAGAGCAGAACAAUUUCCCAUUCACGAAGAGAAUGAGGAGCCAAGUAUCUUUUCAGUGAGUCAGCUGUAGGCAAAGGGAUUUAUUUAUAAUAUUAUUAUUUGGUAGAAAAGAACUUACUAUGGCUGAAUGUAAAAAGUAUUUUUUGAUAAGUUAAAGAGAUUAAGAAAAAUCGGGCCGAUUUUGACAGAGAAUGGUGUGUAAACGAGAAGUGUUAUCAGUGAGAAUCUGGCACCAGCUCCAUUUUGUGAUGGUGAAAAAUAUCAGUAUUAUUUACUAAGAAGAUUAGGGUUGAAUUGGAAGAGAGGCUGGUUGUUGUGUGCAGAUGGAGAUAAGAUAAGGAUUUUACCUUCUCUGCAGAGCCAAAUGCAGCGCACACAGCGCUGUUAUCUCGGGGCUGGCAAGCAGGGGGAUAUUAAGAUGUACGUUGUAAUUACCAGUGGCAGGAGCAAAUUUCAUAGCGACUAUUUUAAACCCUAAUAAAACGCCGGCCUUUAAUUAUACAGCUUUGAAAUAUUUUUCUCAGUUAAUUGCAACGGGGGAAAAUAAAAUCAACCUCAUAUUUGAAACUGACUCUCACAGGGAAAGCCCUCGGCCUGGCGCUCCGGCUGCCUCUGAGCACCAUGCCAUGGGUGGAGAGCUGCCUUGGUGCCGAGUUUCCAGGCUCCGCCGACGCCCUCCCUCACUACCCACACCCCAGCCUUGUAUGGGGGGGACACCAUAAGAAAGGGUGAAGUCUUUCCGUGUGGAAUUAGACACCCCCCAAAAGCCACAAGGUCAUUUCUUCUGGAAAUGAAAUCUGAUUUCUAGAAGCCGGAGGCAGGUGGGAUUCAGGAGAAAAGAAGGGAGGGCUCGAGCGGACAGGGUGGGGUCUCUACCCGCAGAGGCAGCAGCCUUGGACGGUUGGACCCUCCUCCACCUCCCCAGGGGGCAUACUGAGCCUGUCGCCCAUCUUGGUCCACACCUCUCCGACUUUCAGGUUCUUAGAUCAUAGUUUCAUGUCAUUAACGCCUCCCUCUCCUUUGCCCCACACUAAUAAAAAUAAUAAUAGCAGUUGUCCUCGUCCUUGGAAUACCUCCUGUACGCGCCAGGCACUGCCCUAAGCCUUUUGCAUCCACAUAAACUUCUGAGCAAGAGGCAGGUUCCUCUAGUAUUUACAUUUUUGCCUACAUUUUAGAGUACUGUUACCGAGGUCCAGAGAAGCAGUCAGUGUCCAGGAUCGCCCCCAGGGUUGCCAUCCAGGUCCACUUGACCGCAGAGCCCUGCUCACCGCCCUCAGGGCCUCCAGUGUCAUCUUGUGUAAGAACAGCAAUAGAAGACAUCUGUGUCUUUUCCUUGACAUCAAAGGAAAUCCUGUUAAACUUCAAACAUUAAGUAAGAUGUUAUUGUAGAUUUUUGGAAGAUAUUCUUUAUCAGAUUAAAACAGGUUCCUUCUAUUUCUAGUCAGAUAAACAUUUUCUUUUCUUUUUUUUAGUUAAGAAAGAGUGUUGAAUUUUAUUGAAUAUUUUCUGCAUCUACUGAGAUGAUCAUGUGUUUUCUCUUUUAAUCUAAUAAGUGGUCACUUACACUGAUAUAUCUUCUGCUAUUGAGUGACACAUUCCUGGGAUAAACCCUAUUUGGCAAAGACAUAUGAUUGCUUUUAAACACCUCUGAAUUUGAUUUGCUUUGGUAUUUUACAUCUAUGUUCAUAAAUAACAUUGUCAUGUGAUUUUCUUCCUUUCUUCCUUCUUUCUUCUUUUUUGUCCUACGUUUUUCUAUUAUCCUAUUAUCUUUGUCCAGGUUGAAUAUCAAGCUUAAACCAGCUGUAUUCAAUGACUUAGUUAGCUUUCUCUAACUUUCUAUCCUCUCAAACAGUUUGUUUGAUUAUGGACUUAAGUACUGCUUCAAUUUAUUUAAUAAUGAUUACAAGUCCCUUAAAGUUAGCACAUUUCCUUGAGUCAAUUUUGGUAAUUAUCUAUUUAUUUAAGUUUUCAAGUUUAAUGGCAUAAAGUUGUCCAUAUACUAUUUUAUGAUUUUAAAAUUUCUACCGCAUCUGUAGUUAUGUCCCCUUUCACCAUCCAAUAUUAUUAUUUAUACAUUCUCUUUAUUUUCUCCUUAGUCUAUUAAUCUGACAGAGAGAUACUAAAAUCUCUCCCUGUAAUUUUUUUUAAAAAAACUUUUCCUUAUAAUUAUGUCAGUUUUUACUUUGUAUAUUUUGAGACUAUCUUAUUAGGCACAUACAAUUUCAUGAUAAUUAUACUGUAUUUGCGAAUUGUUCUUUCCAUUAUGCAAUAUUCCACUUUAUUUCUAUGUUAUGCCUUUUGUCUUAAAUUAUAUUUUGUCUGAUACAAAGUUAUUUUGAUUAGUAUUGCCUUGUAUAUAUGCGUAUCUUAUUUUUUAAAAUGAAUGGCAUCAUACUGUACACAUAGUUCUGCACCUAGCUUUUAUGAAAAAAAGUUACUGGGGGAAAUAACAUGCACAUAGAAAAUGCAAAAAACAUAGAUGUAAUAAUUAUAAAGCGUACACCUGUGUAACCACCACUCAGAUCAAGAAACGGAACAUGGCCAGCACUGCUCGUGUCUGCCUCUCCUUCGUCAUCCGUUCCCUCCCCCGCUGCAGAAGGAACCAGUAUCUUGACUUUUGUGAUAUUCAUUUCCUUGUUUUUCUCUACAGUUUUGCCUCCUCUGAAUGCAUCUCUAAGCAAUAAAGUUUAGCUUUGCUUGUUUUGAAACUUUAUAGUAAUGGAAUCAUAUGGUAUAUAUUCUUUUGUGUCUUGCCUUUUCUUUUUGCUCAAUAUUAUAUUUUUAAGAUUUAUACAUGAUGUUGCAUGUAACGGACUUGGCUUUUCCCACUUAUAAAUAUAUCUUGAGGAUUGUUCCAUAGCACUGUCUGUAGGAACAAUGACUUAUUCAACUAG
This is a long non-coding RNA of Equus caballus (horse), 4703 nucleotides long. Lineage: Eukaryota; Metazoa; Chordata; Mammalia; Perissodactyla; Equidae. The record is from Ensembl.